ACUGACCCACUGGGUUAGGACAGUUUGUUUUUCUGCAAACACAGCUGAUUUUCGACGGUCUAUUCGAUCAUUCGUUCAGCGAUUUGUUUGGAGGUUGCAUGUAGAUUUAGCCGGGGGUUUUGGAGGGAAAUUUUGGGAUGUAAAAACGGAUUAUUAAAGAGUUUAAUAAAAGUGGUUAAAAAUAAGAGAAAGGAAUGGCUCAACAAGUUUUAAAAUCCGUAGACGUGAAUACAGAUGAGGCUCCUGCAAGCAAACGUGCUAGACUUGAUGAUGGUGAGGGCAAGGGAGGCUCUUGGGCUCCCUGGAUCUUAACCAAAGGGGAAGUUAUCCUUCACGACGAGCAUGAUCGUGGAAUCGGCAGACUAGAUUGUGUACCUGACAAUUUGGCACUUGAUGAAGACACCAUUUUCAACAAAAAUGUUGAUGUUGAUGUUUCUUGUGUUUCUAUGACUCCUAUUUCAAGAGACAAGCAGCUCUCUAUAUUAGAAUCAGCGCUUACCAAAGAAUCUUUAGAUAAAUUAACAGUUGGAGAGUGGAGUAAUUUAAUGACCAGCAAACCAAUUAUAAAACCAGAAGACAAGAUGAAUUACUUUGACCUUCUAUCUGAUGAGGUGGUUCUUCAGAUCUUCCGUUGGAUACCGAAAAGCAACUUGCGUGACAUCGCACUCACUUGCUCUAGAUUCCAUCGAUUGAGCAAUGAUGAGACUCUCUGGACUCGCAUGGAUGUUUCGAACAAACAUUUGGAUGAAGGUGACUUGGGAUUGAUUUUGAGUAGGCAAGUGAUUGUUUUGCGCCUGGCCAAGUCCACUAUCCUUGACAAUCCCAUCUUGGGCAACUGUAAAGCUGCAAGCGAAGACUUUCAAUGCAGACUGAUGUACUUGGAUCUGAGCAUGUCGACCAUUUCCUGUGAGAGUUUGAUUGUGGUGUUCAACAAGUGCCGCAAAUUAAAAAAGAUCAGUUUGGAGAAUAUCAGAUUGAACGAUGAGGUGCUACUUGCCCUGUCAGCUAACACUUGCCUUGAAGUUGUCAAUUUGGCCAUGGCCUCGGGGAUCAAAGAGGACGGAUUGAAAUAUUUGCUCACCAAUUGCAAAUUGAUAAGGGAGCUGAAUGUGGCUUGGACUUACCUUAAUUCCAACUGCAUUGAGUACUUGUGCAAGAACUUGCCGAUAACAAUGGAUAGACUCAAUGUUGCAGGAUGCAGAAAAUUGCUUUUAGACAGAAAUGUGCAAUCAUUGGUGGCAUGCUGCCCAAAUUUAAGAGAGCUUGAUUUGUCUGACUGUACAGUAAUUACUGAACGGUCCAUACAGCACAUAACAACUUUAAAGCAUUUGACUUUCAUUGCACUCUCUCGUUGCUACAUGGUAUCGCACGAGUCGCUUGCAGAGUUAAUAGACAAUCCUGCUGUGCACAUUAAAGGUUUCCCAUACCCCAUCCUACUUCCUAUUGUUAUGUGACAAUUGUGUGUCCUCAUAGAUGCGCUGUUGUCAAAGACCCGUCAAAUUCAAGUUAUUUUUUUCACUCCAUGUGUGUUUUUAAAUUAGUCUAUUGUAAACUGCCUACUUUUGAGUUUUAACGAUUUUUGUAGAACCCUCCGCUGCUUAAAAAAUCUCGCUUACUUGGAUAUCCACGGUGGUUAUUUAGACCGCAUUCAGCUCAACGAGGUCCAAACCAGUUUGGGAGCAAGGGUUCAGCUGAAC
Molecule: unclassified non-coding RNA, 1697 nt
Filed under: Anthonomus grandis grandis
Lineage: Eukaryota; Metazoa; Arthropoda; Insecta; Coleoptera; Curculionidae
Description: s-phase kinase-associated protein 2
Source: RNAcentral